This 339-nucleotide ribosomal RNA is filed under the name Triticum aestivum (bread wheat). RNAcentral's name for it is "partial small subunit ribosomal RNA". Lineage: Eukaryota; Viridiplantae; Streptophyta; Magnoliopsida; Poales; Poaceae. The record is from RNAcentral.
AUGGCAGAAGCCUUAGCUCUCAAAUUUGGCCUAAUAUUGGCACAAAGGGCGGGGUGUAAUCGCCUAAUCAUCAACUCGGAUAAUGUGGAGGUGAUUGAGACCAUCCAGGACGGAGGACAAUCGGCGGGUGCAGCGGCAGCAAUUUUCGAUGACUGUUACCACUAUGCAUGUGAUUUUGUUAUAACUAGAUUUGAACAUUGUAAUAGAGAGGAAAAUAAAGUAGCUCAUGAACUCGCUAGAUUAGCUAGAUUUUCUUCGACUUCAGAUUGGUUUGAGGAGACUCUAAAUAAAAUUGUAAUGAUCCUCAUAAACGAUGUACUGGUUAUUUCUAAUGAAUAA